Molecule: non-coding RNA, 1229 nt
Organism: Danio rerio (zebrafish)
Lineage: Eukaryota; Metazoa; Chordata; Actinopteri; Cypriniformes; Danionidae
Source: Ensembl
CUUCCUCCAUUUCUGCUGAAGAAUCCUACAAUAUCAGGUCAGGAAUAGGGUUGGGGAUUGAAGAUGGAUUCAGAUUCUGGAAUCAGACACUUGGAUUAAUGUUCAGACUCUUGUUCUAAAAUCAACAUCUGGAUUCCUCUUCUCUGUGCACACAUGUGUAUUUUUCACUUGCUAAUCUGUCAGGAACUUGGGCGCUGGCGAGCAGCUUUAAUAAUCUGAACAUAGUUUAGAGAUGGACUGCAACAUGUGCUCAAAGGCUGCAUGUGCUGAAGAACGAUGGCAAAGCUAAGUGUGAUCACUGUAAUAAAUGAAUGUUGCAGCAGGGUGUCUCCAUCAACAUGAGCAGUAUCUGCGCUCGCUUCACCAACAGCAGAGGAAAAGAACGCACUGUGUUACAUUCAUUGUGCAUCCCGGCUCAACCAACAAGUGUUGUGUGUUUUAGCUCAAGAGUUUGGAGCGUGUAGCUGAGCAGCUCAGUGCUAGCUUUAGCUUAUUAGCUGAGGGGGAAACUAAACAGCUCAUUCUCUCCAUCUGUGUGUGUUUACAGUCUGGAUCAUGGAGGACACACGAGGAUUACAGCAGGACUGCACAAAUAUGUCUGUUUCCUCACUCUGGAUCCAAACACAGCACACACUCAACUCAUUCUGUCUGAGGAGAACAGAGAGGUGAAGUGUGUGAGAGAGAAUCAGCCGUAUCCUGAUCAUCCAGACAGAUUUGAUGUUCAUCAGCAGGUGUUGUGCAGAGAGAGUGUGUGUGGACGCUGUUACUGGGAGAUUGACUGGAGUGGAGAUGAUGAUGUGUGUAUAUCAGUGUCAUAUAAGAGCAUCAGGAGGAAGGGAGGAGGUGCUAAGUGUUUGUUUGGAUAUAAUGCUCAGUCCUGGAGUUUGAGCUGCUCUUCCUCCAGAUUCAUAUUCAGACACAAUAACACAGACACUGCUCUCCCAGUAAAGCCCCUCAGCAGGAGAAUAGGAGUGUUUGUGGAUCACAGUGCAGGAACUCUGAUCUUCUACAACAUCUAUAGAGACACAAUGAGCCUCAUCCACUCAGUCCAGACCACAUUCACUGAGCCGCUCUGCCCUGGGUUUACUGUUUAUCCUGGAUCAUCAGUGAAACUGAGCUGAAGACUGACGAAUGAUUUACCCAGAAUCCUCUGCAGGAACAGUCAGCAGCAGUGUGCGUGUGUGAGAGAGAGUCUGUAUUUGUGUGUGUGUGUGUGUGUGUGUGUAUGU